GAUCAUGGCUCAGGAUGAACGCUAGCUACAGGCUUAACACAUGCAAGUCGAGGGGCAGCAUGUUGGUUGCUUGCAACCAAUGAUGGCGACCGGCGCACGGGUGAGUAACGCGUAUCCAACCUACCCUUGUCCAUCGGAUAACCCGUCGAAAGGCGGCCUAACACGAUAUGCGGUUCACAGCAGGCAUCUAACGUGAACGAAAUGUAAAGGAGAAGGAUGGGGAUGCGUCUCA
This 232-nucleotide ribosomal RNA is filed under the name uncultured bacterium. Its description in RNAcentral is "partial 16S ribosomal RNA". It matches the Rfam family "Bacterial small subunit ribosomal RNA", at positions 15 to 240 of the family's 1533-position model. The record is from RNAcentral.